UCGUGCUAUAUGGGGAGCUAGCGGUGCCCUGUAACCUGCAAUCCGCUAUAGCAGGAUUGAAUUCCCACUAUAGAAUUUAAUUAUCGACAGUGGGUGCACGA
Molecule: signal recognition particle RNA, 101 nt
Filed under: Clostridium sp.
Lineage: Bacteria; Bacillati; Bacillota; Clostridia; Eubacteriales; Clostridiaceae
Description: signal recognition particle sRNA large type
Rfam family: Bacterial large signal recognition particle RNA
About the family: The signal recognition particle (SRP) is a universally conserved ribonucleoprotein involved in the co-translational targeting of proteins to membranes.
Source: RNAcentral